UAAGGAAUAUUGGACAAUGGUCGCAAGACUGAUCCAGCCAUGCCGCGUGCAGGAAGACGGCCCUAUGGGUUGUAAACUGCCUUUGUACCAGAGAAAACCUAUCUACGUGUAGAUAGCUGAUAGUAUGGUAAGAAUAAGCAUCGGCUAACUUCGUGCCAGCAGCCGCGGUAAGACGAAGGAUGCAAGCGUUAUCCGGAUUCAUUGGGUUUAAAGGGUGCGUAGGCGGGCUUGUAAGUCAGUGGUGAAAUCUCUCAGCUUAACUGAGAAACUGCCAUUGAUACUGCAGGCCUAGAGUAUAGAUGACGUUGGCGGAAUAUGACAUGUAGUGGUGAAAUACUUAGAUAUGUCAUAGAACACCGAUUGCGAAGGCAGCUAACGAAACUAUAACUGACGCUGAGGCACGAAAGUGCGGGGAUCAAACA
Molecule: ribosomal RNA, 422 nt
Filed under: uncultured bacterium
Lineage: Bacteria
Description: bacterial SSU rRNA
Rfam family: Bacterial small subunit ribosomal RNA
Source: RNAcentral